Molecule: small nuclear RNA, 106 nt
Organism: Hippopotamus amphibius kiboko
Lineage: Eukaryota; Metazoa; Chordata; Mammalia; Artiodactyla; Hippopotamidae
Source: RefSeq, a predicted model, not a curated record
UUGCUUUGCUUUAGCAAGUAUACUAAAAUUGGAAAGAUACAGAAUCGGUGAGCAUAGCCCAUUGCACAAGAAUAACACGUAAACUUGUGAAAUGUUCCCAAACCAU